Molecule: long non-coding RNA, 170 nt
Filed under: Amphimedon queenslandica
Lineage: Eukaryota; Metazoa; Porifera; Demospongiae; Haplosclerida; Niphatidae
Description: uncharacterized LOC109593610
Source: RNAcentral
ACAAGAUGUUAGACAAAAGGAACUAAAAGAAAAGGAUCAAGACUUACUACAGCAUGCUGACGUUGUUUCUUAUAUUAUACUUGAACAAGCUGAAUAUAAACUGAGAGAUGCUAUCAGUAGCAAAGAGAAGGAACGAAUUGAAUUAAAACAAAAACAAUCAAUGAUGAAAG